RNAcentral lists this transfer RNA (73 nucleotides) under Datura stramonium (jimsonweed). Its description in RNAcentral is "tRNA-Cys". It matches the Rfam family "tRNA". Rfam says of the family: Transfer RNA (tRNA) molecules are approximately 80 nucleotides in length. Their secondary structure includes four short double-helical elements and three loops (D, anti-codon, and T loops). Further hydrogen bonds mediate the characteristic L-shaped molecular structure. tRNAs have two regions of fundamental functional importance: the anti-codon, which is responsible for specific mRNA codon recognition, and the 3' end, to which the tRNAs corresponding amino acid is attached (by aminoacyl-tRNA synthetases). tRNAs cope with the degeneracy of the genetic code in two manners: having more than one tRNA (with a specific anti-codon) for a particular amino acid; and 'wobble' base-pairing, i.e. permitting non-standard base-pairing at the 3rd anti-codon position. The record is from RNAcentral. Lineage: Eukaryota; Viridiplantae; Streptophyta; Magnoliopsida; Solanales; Solanaceae.
GGGUCCAUAGCUCAGUGGUAGAGCAUUUGACUGCAGAUCAAGGAAUCACCGGUUCGAACCCGGUUUGGGCCCU